GGACCGGGAGCUGCGGCUGCCCCAGGGCCCCGGGCGCGCGCGGUGCGCCGGCUGGGGCGGGGAGGGCCUCGGCGAGUGGGAGUCGCGCGGGGAGGGACGCGUUGGGCCAGGGCGGUCGUUGCCGGUCUUCCUGUCCGGGGACUGGAGGUGCCGCCCGCAUCACCGAGACCUUCUCUUUUGUGGCGUGAGGGAUUCCCUUCCCCUCUCGGCAGGCAUCCCCUCGGAGCCUGCCGACGCGCACGGGCGCCGUUUCCCGGCGUGUCUGUGGACGAAGCCCCUCUUCGCCUCUCUCUCUGCACCAGCAGCCGGACACCCCCAGUUCAGCGUGUUCGUCCCCUCCCCAGUUCCGAGGGCUCUUCUUUCUCCUCCUCUCCCUCGCAUUGAGAAGGAGAUUCCCCUGCCCGCGGUGUGCGGCCAUCCUCACCCACGCCAGACCGGCUUCCCUGGUGCCCUUGUUCCCCACUUCACCCUGGGUGUGCGGGGUCGACAGCUGGGAGCCAGCCCUUGCGUGUUCCCAGUGCAGGGGCCAGCGACGCCCUCAGCCCAAAGCAGGGGCCCGGCUUCCGUGGGGGAAAGGGGGUGCUGCCAGCCUCAGCCCAGGUGGAUGGGGCGUUUGUUUCCAAGAGGCAAAGAGGGGAGACUUUACCCUGAAACAAAGAAUCGAGGCCAACCCGGACUGUCCGAGCCUCCUGGAAGACUGAAGAAUCUCAGCUUCUGGACGGGAGGAAAUUAACAGUGGACUAGAAAGGAAGAGGCAAUAAGAAACAGCCAGUGGAGACAGAGAAGGCAAACUUUUGAUUUUUGCAUUGUGUGGUGUGGCAAUCUUAUUUGUAAUCGUCCAAUUAGCUAUUUUGUAAAAGGAUCAUAUUUGAGAAAAUCAGCCUUUACCCAGCUCGGUACAACUUAAGCCUGCAGACAAUGAACGGUUAUGAUUUGUUUCCUCAUCGUGAAAAGACAGAGGAUGUAGAUUUUAGAUUUUUCUAUCUGCAGAAUGAUCCUUUCCAGCUAAGUGCCCCUCACUGGAGCAGC
This 1029-nucleotide long non-coding RNA is filed under the name Oryctolagus cuniculus (rabbit). RNAcentral describes it as "lncRNA (ENSOCUG00000033909.1)". The record is from RNAcentral. Lineage: Eukaryota; Metazoa; Chordata; Mammalia; Lagomorpha; Leporidae.